Molecule: non-coding RNA, 265 nt
Organism: Lonchura striata (white-rumped munia)
Lineage: Eukaryota; Metazoa; Chordata; Aves; Passeriformes; Estrildidae
Source: RefSeq, a predicted model, not a curated record
GAACAAGUGGGAUUCUCAACCCUGCAAGAAGCAGAAACAACAAUAACCCACCCUGGCCCUUCCUCACCAGGACUUCCAAAGUAAGGCAAGGGCAAACUAAGGAAGCAUGUACAGAAUUCCCACACUUUGGAGUUGGUGCCAUUUCCUAUUCAGGCCACUGGAACUGGGAAAUCUUAUUCCCAGGUCUCACGAGGAGAAGCAGCUUGAAGCAAACACAGGAACCCCAGCAAAUCUGAAUCUUUCCACCCAAUCAAUAAAACCUUAC